RNAcentral lists this ribosomal RNA (406 nucleotides) under Verrucomicrobiota bacterium. RNAcentral describes it as "Verrucomicrobia bacterium partial 16S ribosomal RNA". It matches the Rfam family "Bacterial small subunit ribosomal RNA", at positions 355 to 776 of the family's 1533-position model. Lineage: Bacteria; Pseudomonadati; Verrucomicrobiota. The record is from RNAcentral.
UGGGGAAUAUUGGACAAUGGAGGAAACUCUGAUCCAGCAAUUCUGUGUGUGUGAAGAAGGUUUUAGGACUGUAAAACACUUUUAGUAGGGAAGAAAAAAAUGACGGUACCUACAGAAGAAGCAACGGCUAAAUACGUGCCAGCAGCCGCGGUAAUACGUAUGGGGCGAGCGUUGUCCGGAAUUAUUGGGCGUAAAGGGUACGUAGGCGGUCUAUUAAGUCAGGUGUGAAAGCGUGAGGCUUAACCUCAUUAAGCACUUGAAACUGAUAGACUUGAGUGAAGGAGAGGAAAGUGGAAUUCCUAGUGUAGCGGUGAAAUGCGUAGAUAUUAGGAGGAAUACCGGUGGCGAAGGCGACUUUCUGGACUUUUACUGACGCUCAGGUACGAAAGCGUGGGGAGCGAACAGG